AGGAAGUGAGGCGAUCAUGUUAAUUGAGGGUUCUGGUUAGUAUAUAGCCCUGUCUGUCUCCUCAACUCACCACAUCCACUUAAUCCCGCUCUUAUUGUCUCAACAUCCAGUGGGAUAGUAGUGCCUGGCGUUCCAAACUACUACUGUACACAGUACACGGACCAUUGGCAGAGUUGGGUUUACAGCUAAAAACAUCUGAUUCUGGUGGAACUGGUGAAAAGAAUGAAGAUUACAAUAGUGAUUUUUUGCUUGGUUGGGGCGGUUUAUGCCAACCCAAUUCUGUACAAAGUUAUUUUGAAGCAGAGCGAACUGGAAUCAUCAAACAUGACUCAAACGCAAAGGUUAAGUUCAUCCGCCUCACAAUCUCCGGAUCAAAGUGACACUUCAGAGCUCGAGAGCUCUGAAGAAAGUACCUCAGAGGACCAAAGUUCAGAGUCUGAGUCCGAAUCAUUGGAAUCCAAUUCAGAGUCUUCCGAGAGCCAUUCUUUGGAGAGUGAGAGCCAAUCACUGGAGGACAGGGUAAAGAGCCUCAGAUACUGACUCCAAUGCUAUUGGGGAUACAAGAGACAACAGCCAAGGCAGUGAAGAAAACGUUCGAAAGAAUUGGAUCCGAGUGUUUGCCGUCCGAGUCUUGAGUGCAGAGAACAACAGCAGCUCUGAGGUCAAAGGGCAGCUGGACCUACCCACUAAUCAGGGGGCAGUGAAACACAGCAUACUCUCUCCCACCGCCUUGACAACCAACUACAGCCAGCCUGGCAAUACAGUUCAGAGCAAUGCAGCCUUGGCAUUGGUAGAGAGCUUCCUCAAAGCCUCUGGUUCUCUUAGUGAGACCAGUGUCAGCAUUGAUACCAGUGACGUCAGUGCUGUUACUGGUAACGUCAGUACUGUUACCAGAGACGUCAGUACUGUUAACUUUGACAUAAGAGACACAAGUAACAGCAAGGAUACCAGCGAUAGUAGCGAAAGCAGUGAAAGUAGCGAGAGCAGUGACACUAGUGAGACCAGUGAUAGCAGCAAUACCAGUGACAGUAAAGAGAGUGAUACCAGUGAGAGUGAGGAGAGACACCAGAGCCAAGCUACAGACUGCCAGCAGGGUGUCCACAGCACUGCCUGUGACAGUGAGGAGUAUUUCUUCCAAGAUAUAGGUGACGAUGGUCAUUAUCCAAUGGAUGAUUUGCUCAUGCCUGAAGAGGAGCAUAGGGAGUUGAGUUUACGGAGAUAAUGCUAACAUCCCCCAUUUGACUGUAUCAGGUUGGAUGCAUUUCAAAUGAAGCAAGGGGAGGGAGUACAGUGUAGAUCAAGCAAUAUAGUAUGACAUUGACUUCUAUGUUUUGUUUUGAUGUUGGCAUGAAAUAAAACUGAAAAUAAACUGUUCGGCCUACUGCUUAGAAAUAUAGGUUUAAGUGUUGUAGUAGAUGGUUUGAAGUCAUGGUUGCAAAUAUUUUUCCUAUUCAUUUGCUUUUUUCACUCAUUUUCAUGAAGAGUUGAAUUCCAAAACGCUAUAUAUCCAUUUUCAGAAAUGUUGGUAAAUGAUCUUUUAUUGUUUAUAGAAAUUAUGAUAGAGAUGGAUGUGUUUUUUCACUAUCUAAUUAUGGCAUGGGGUUGUUCAAUGACAGACAUGUAUUUGUUUAGAAUCUAUCACUUGAUGGUUUCAUUUCAGAGACAAAUAAUCAUGUUUUUUGGCAAAAUGCUGUCACACCCUGAUCUGUUUCACCUGUCUUUGUGCUUGUCUCCAACCCGCCCCAAGUGUCGCCCAUCUUCCACAUUAUCCCCAGUGUAUUUAUACCAGUAUUCUCUGUUUGUCUGUUGCCAGUUCGUUUUAUCCGUCAAGCCUACCAGCGGUUUUCCCCUUGCUCAUGUCUUUUUCUAUAGUUCCUGUUUUCUAGUUUUCCCGGUUUCGACCAUUCUGCCUGCACUGAGCCUGAGCCUGCCUGCCGUACUAUACCUUGUCACAACGCACUGGAUUAUUGACCUCUGCCUGCCUUGACCCUGAG
RNAcentral lists this long non-coding RNA (1994 nucleotides) under Salmo salar (Atlantic salmon). Its description in RNAcentral is "lncRNA (ENSSSAG00000091211.1)". Lineage: Eukaryota; Metazoa; Chordata; Actinopteri; Salmoniformes; Salmonidae. The record is from RNAcentral.